AGUGAACGCUGGCGGUAGGCCUAACACAUGCAAGUCGAACGGCAGCACAGUAAGAGCUUGCUCUUACGGGUGGCGAGUGGCGGACGGGUGAGGAAUACAUCGGAAUCUACUUUUUCGUGGGGGAUAACGUAGGGAAACUUACGCUAAUACCGCAUACGACCUACGGGUGAAAGCAGGGGAUCUUCGGACCUUGCGCGAUUGAAUGAGCCGAUGUCGGAUUAGCUAGUUGGCGGGGUAAAGGCCCACCAAGGCGACGAUCCGUAGCUGGUCUGAGAGGAUGAUCAGCCACACUGGAACUGAGACACGGUCCAGACUCCUACGGGAGGCAGCAGUGGGGAAUCUUCGGCAAUGGGCGAAAGCCUGAUCCAGCCAUGCUGCGUGAGUGAAGAAGGUCUUCGGAUUGUAAAGCCCUGUUAUUGGGAAAGAAAAGCUGCAGAAUUAAAUCCCGCCGUUCUGACGGUACCCAAAGAAUAAGCAACGGCUAACUACGUG
This 492-nucleotide ribosomal RNA is filed under the name uncultured bacterium. Its description in RNAcentral is "partial 16S ribosomal RNA". It matches the Rfam family "Bacterial small subunit ribosomal RNA", at positions 29 to 507 of the family's 1533-position model. The record is from RNAcentral.